GAUGAACGCUGGCGGCGUGCCUAAUACAUGCAAGUCGAGCGAACAGACGAGGAGCUUGCUCCUUUGACGUUAGCGGCGGACGGGUGAGUAACACGUGGAUAACCUACCUAUAAGACUGGGAUAACUUCGGGAAACCGGAGCUAAUACCGGAUAACAUGUUGAACCGCAUGGUUCAACAGUGAAAGACGGUCUUGCUGUCACUUAUAGAUGGAUCCGCGCCGCAUUAGCUAGUUGGUAAGGUAACGGCUUACCAAGGCAACGAUGCGUAGCCGACCUGAGAGGGUGAUCGGCCACACUGGAACCGAGACACGGUCCAGACUCCUACGGGAGGCAGCAGUAGGGAAUCUUCCGCAAUGGGCGAAAGCCUGACGGAGCAACGCCGCGUGAGUGAAGAAGGUCUUCGGAUCGUAAAACUCUGUUAUUAGGGAAGAACAAAUGUGUAAGUAACUAUGCACGUCUUGACGGUACCUAAUCAGAAAGCCACGGCUAACUACGUG
This 497-nucleotide ribosomal RNA is filed under the name uncultured bacterium. Its description in RNAcentral is "partial 16S ribosomal RNA". It matches the Rfam family "Bacterial small subunit ribosomal RNA", at positions 28 to 507 of the family's 1533-position model. The record is from RNAcentral.